Molecule: long non-coding RNA, 520 nt
Filed under: Felis catus (domestic cat)
Lineage: Eukaryota; Metazoa; Chordata; Mammalia; Carnivora; Felidae
Description: lncRNA (ENSFCAG00000048948.1)
Source: RNAcentral
CAAGACAGACUAGUAACUUGCUGCUCCAAGCCAUUGCUUUUAGAAGUGCAAACAGUUCGAUUUCAGAUGGAUUUCAGUUUUCUCACCUAACUUCCUGAAAAGCCAAUAGACCCAGUUGCUGAAGAAUUGGAAGGACUAAAAAUCUGUUUUUCAAAAAAAGUUACCAUUGUGGAAAAUGUCUACAGAGGCAGCUGUUCUAUCCACAGAGAGGAACGUCAAAAGUUGCACAGAAUUUCCACUACUUCUGAAAGCAACCUGUUCCACCCAGAAAAGAAGUUACUUAUGAAUGAAAGUCUUACCCUUGUUAGGAAAGAGGAGGAUCAUUUGAAUCAAUAAAGGAAGGCAUUAUCAGAAAGGCAUUCAGGAAGCAGAAUCCCAUGCCUCAGAUGUCAUCAAUGCUGGCAACAUAAUUUUGUUAAAUAAUUUUAAUGGAAGAGAGUCUUUGUGGAUUUUCUUUGAAACGAACCAUUUGGAGGGCAUCUUGUGAAUAAAAAGAGGUGCGGAAUGUUGCCUUUGUUCA